GCCCCCGUAGCUCAGUUGGACAGAGCAGUGGUUUCCUAAACCGCGGGUCGGGUGUUCGAGUCACCCCGGGGGUA
Molecule: transfer RNA, 74 nt
Filed under: Candidatus Zixiibacteriota bacterium
Lineage: Bacteria; Pseudomonadati; Candidatus Zixiibacteriota
Description: tRNA-Arg
Rfam family: tRNA
About the family: Transfer RNA (tRNA) molecules are approximately 80 nucleotides in length. Their secondary structure includes four short double-helical elements and three loops (D, anti-codon, and T loops).
Source: RNAcentral